GGAGGAUCCACUUCCAAAACGUCUCACUCACAUGACUAUUGGCAGAAAGCCUCAGUUCCUUGAAAAUGUGGACUUCUCUGCAGGCCUUCUGGAGUGUCCUCCUGACAGCAACUGGCCUUUCCCAGAGAGAGUGAUCCAACAGAGAGAGCAAGUAGGAUAUAGCUGCGCCUUUCAUGACAGCCUCAGAAGCCACAAAUCACCGUGUCUGCUAUGUUUUAUUCAUCAGAAGUGAGUCGCUGAGUCCAACCAUAUUCACAGGGAGGCAAAGUAAGCUCUACCUCUUAAAGGAAAGGAGUAUCCAAGAAUUUGUGGAUAUAUUUUAAAACGGCCACAGAAAGAAGAACAAUCAAGAAACACCUGCUAGUGGCAUGCCAGGCCAGACACACCCAUCGGGGUCUCCUGCAGUCAAGAAGGAGGGGGCCGUGCAAGCUGGGAGGACCUCAGAUGGACAGAAUUCAACUCAUCACAUUUCUUGGUUCUUGACACGCUCUCCUCGUUAGUCCAUCACAUAUUGCACGGAUUCAUUCAUAUCGCUGCAUGUAGGCUGCUUUGACCUGCUGUAGAAUAUCUCAUUGUGUGGAUGCACAUGUGGAUCACUGAGUAUGUCAGAGCUGGCAAGAUACGUCAGAAGAGAAAGGAGAAACUCUUAACUAAAUAGAGUUGGAAAUAAAAUAAUUGUCUGUAUGGAAUAAGAUCAAAGGUCCCACAUGUUAAAGUCAACCCCAGAUGAAUUAAAGUCUUACAUGUCAAAAAAAAUUGAAACUUUUAGAAGAAAAUUAAGGUGGAUAUAUUUUAGACCUUAAGGUAGAGAAAGAUUUCUUAAAGAAGACACUUACAGGAUUGAUUACAAACAAAAAGACUGGUACAUUUGAAUGUAUUAUGUUAAGAACUUUUCCACCAAAAGAAAGCCUCGAUUUCCUCAUUUUUAAGAUGAGGAUAAUAAUCCCUACCUUAUAGAAUUCUAAUAAGAUGAAAUGAAGCAACAUAUACAAAAUACUUAGCACAGAUCCUAACACCUACAAAAUAAUAAAUGGUAACGAUUAUUAUUCUUCUCAAACAACAAUCCUAUUAUUUAUCAAAUAAUACUGAGUAAUAUGACAAGACAUAUUUAAACCACACAAGCCAUAUGCAGACAAGUGUUUAAUAUCAUAGUGAUAGUUUCAAGAGAGAGAUAAUAAUUUAUUCUACAUUUAUCAGAGGUCUAUAGCCCAGUAGUCAAUAAAUACUUAUCUAUAGUCAAUAAGUACUAUCAAGCAUCCAUGCCAGGAACCAUGCUAGGGGCUGAUUAAUUUACAUCAAUCACCAUGACUUUUUUCCCACAAACUAACACACACACAAUCUUCAUAGAUUUUUCUGUGAUCACAGCAAGGAAAAGACCUACGCAUGUUUGGAUCAUCUGUGUACAGUCCUACAGAAGAACUUUGACACUAUCAGAGACAGAAAUCUCAGAAUAGUCCAACUCUCACUUAUUUGUGCUAAUGAAAGAGUAAAGUAAAAGAGACAAUUAAAAUGGGAAAUGUGUUUUGUUUUGUUUUGGUGUUUUGUUUUACAAGUAUGCAAAAACCUCAAAUCAACCUGACCCAACAAUAAGGAAGCAAGUCAGAAAAAGGCAGUCUUCCAGAGCUGUUUGUUCAGCAGCUCAGUAAUGCCAUGAAGGUUUGCUUCCUUUCUCUGCUUUGUGUUUCUGGAGAGAGUCCGCAUACAUUUCAAUAUGGCUGACAGCAGUUCUGGAAUGUAUAAAGCCUUGCAUAAAGAAAAUGACAGUUCACUAUGAAAAUCUGAUUCGGAUGAUGUUGAAAAUAGAUUUAGUGUCUGCUCUGCCUCUCUGUUUUCUAGGACUUCACCACCUCACAGACUUUGUACACUCAUGGUUCACAACUUCCUCACUGUGUUUUCUUUAACGAGUAGAAGAUAAAUAAGCUUUAAGAAAUAGUAAAUUAUAUCAAAAUAGACUUUAUCAUAUAAUUUGCCUAAUUAUGUACCUUCAGUAAGUGUUUAUUGAACUCUGGGGUGUCAACAAUUUUUUAUUCAGCUCUCAUAAGUAAUAUUUGCUUAGAAAUCUACCCAUAAAUAGGAUAACAACUUUCAUAAAACAAGAAUUUAUACCUAGCUAACAUGAAAAAGCUAAACAUCCCUUGAAGUACAAUUCUCCUGAAAAUCAUCCCAAUAUGGUUUAUUGAGGCUGAUGGAUUUGGACACCAGCUCUUAAGAAAAAAGAUAAAGAGGAAAGCUACUGCCUGCCACAACAUAUUCUUUUUCCCAAGAGCUGGUAAGUUUCUUCCAUAUGUGGAAUCCAAUAACGUUCGGAACAUUCUUUUCUCUUUCUGGUAAUGUGAUAUACCCAACGUGGGCCUAUGAUACAAGGAAGGAGAGUAGAUCAGGAGUCAAAAACCACAGGUCCUAGUUCUGGUUCUAUCAUUUCUUUGCUGUGAAAGUCUGGACCAGUGACUUCAUAGCUCUGAGUUUCUGUUGUGUCAUUCUUCAAGUCAGGUCAUCAUUUGCCUUCCCUACUUCACAGGUAGUAUACAGUAAUCUUUUCAAAAGCCCUUUAGAGGACAUAACACAACCUUAUGUUUAUUUUCUGCUAGAGCAUGACUCCCUUGAGGGCUUGGAGCAUGUCUUAAUCAAAUUUGUAUAUUCCACCAUUCCUACCCCAGACCUAUUAUUAGGUGCUCAAUAAAUGUUGAUUUUAAAUGACAGCUGUCAUGAAAUAAAUGAAAACAGAAGCCAACAGUGACGGUUUGAGCUGCCUGCUGGCUGGCAUGUGACACUUAACAUCUAAAGAGUGAUAGUGGCAGCUAAAGUGCGGAAGGAAUCCACUUUAUGAAACUAUCUGAGCAGUGAAGCACUGGAAAUCACAGAGUCUCCUUUUGGCUAUUUUACAUUUAGAUAUGAAAGCUUGUCAGGCUGGGCUGAGAAUAGACAAUGAGAAACUAACACAUUUCAACAGGUUUUGAAUAGUUUCCCAGUGAAGAAUUUUCCUGGCCUCUCUCCACCCUGGUUUUUAUCCCUCUUCUUGGGAGUUAUUUUUCGCAAAUGUACCCCAUGAUUGGCAAAUUUCAGAAGAAUAACUGGGGUUGGCUCAGUUCAGCUCCUCCCCGUCCUUCUCCUGAGUCUGCUUCCAAAGGCAAUCUGCAAGGGAGGAAUAAAGCAACUCAGGGAAGGGAAAAAGAGAUGUGAAGAAGGAAAGAAAUUGGAAGACCCAAAACAACAUGAUGGCUUCAGAAGGUGAACCCAGAGAGCAGGCUGUUUCUGUCCAUGGGAAAGCAGGAUGGUACAGCCCAUAUCUGAUUCAGAAACCAACAGUCAAACCAUUCUCCCCUGAGACUAAAGCAGAGAAUGAAGCCAUUUCCCAGAAAUUUGGGUAUUUAAAAAAUCACCCUGGCCUGGGUUACAGGGUAAUUGUCCCAUAUCUAUGUUUCACCUGCAGAUUCAUGGGACAGAAUUAUUUCCCAAAUCUAGCUCCAUGCUCCUGCCCUGACUUAAGUCAGGGAAUACUUGGUAUGUAGUAGCAUUUAUUAUUUCACGUUCAAAAUAUCUCAAAGCCUUGAAAACUGUAACGUAUUAAACGGAAAUUUGGUAGGCAUUGCUUCGCACAAUCCCAUGAUGCCAGCUUGCUAGCAUGGAUAUGCCCAGGGCACCCUACCAGAUGCUGGACACAAAAGCUCAACAUGGUAGUUCUUCCCUGCAAGGGUUCACAGCCCAGUGGAGGAGAUCGUCAGGUGAGUAAAUCAUCCUACUGUACAGCCACGAUGUGCAGAGGACUCAGAGGAGGGAGUGAAACUGCCACUCCCAGGCCCAUGUCUCAGACCAACCCUUCCCCUCCAGCCAGUUGUGUAGACUGCACCUCUUCUCUCCCUCCUCAGUGAAUACAGGCUAAGGAACGCAGGCUUCUCUUACCCAGGUUCCCUGAACUGCUUUUUUUAGCCCAUCUCAUCUUCUUCUGGUUUUGUUCAAUUUUCUGCCAGCUUUUUUAUCCGGCUCACUUAUCUCCCUUUAUCCCUCAGAACCAUCUCCAGUAAUUCCAUUGACUGGCAGGACAUUUUUCCAUCAGAGAGUAGAGCUGAGCUGCUGCAGUGCCACGGCCACCUCCCAGCAACAACCCCUCCGACCCCAGCAGACCCACUACCUGGCUCUUUCGGUCAGUGGGGACUUUUCAGAUGGUAUCUCUUUUAUUUUAGCUUUUUAAUUUCUGGCUGCCAGGCUUUCUUUUCUUAACUACGUUUGGAGCAGCAUUUUGCACAUCACAGAAGCCAUGCCAGUUUUAAGGUGAGUUAGGAUUCUGCAGGGGAAUCCCAUUAUUUUGAUUCCCUCAUCAAAGCAGGGCUAAGUUUAACCCCUUGCAAAUAUGAAAAUGAAAAGGACAGAGGAGUGUAUUGUCAUGGAAAAGGCACCAAAUUAGUCACCAGGGAACUGGACACAGGUCCCGGCCCCACAACUGACUCUGCCAUGGGAUUUUAGGCAAGACACCUCACCUUUCUGACUCCAAAAUAGUAUGCCUGUUAGUCUUCCUCAUGAUGAAGUUGGAAGAAUCAAAUAUAUUGACUGCUAUAAACAUACCUCAUAAACUGUAAAGCACUGUUCAGUCAACUUAAAGACCCAUGCCAAACCUAGGGACACUGGGCAGCAUGUCCUUCUGAAUAAGCACAUAAGCUCCAUGAGAGCAAGGAUUGGGUCACCUCUUGCUCGCUAUUUACUCCCAGUGCUUAGCACCUGGAAGGAAGGAA
Molecule: long non-coding RNA, 4727 nt
Filed under: Homo sapiens (human)
Lineage: Eukaryota; Metazoa; Chordata; Mammalia; Primates; Hominidae
Description: HSALNT0326979
Source: RNAcentral